RNAcentral lists this transfer RNA (64 nucleotides) under Cladiscus yunnanus. Its description in RNAcentral is "tRNA-Asp". The record is from RNAcentral. Lineage: Eukaryota; Metazoa; Arthropoda; Insecta; Coleoptera; Cleridae.
AAAAAUUUAGUUAAAAUAUAACAUUAGUUUGUCAAACUAAAAUUAUUAAAAUUAAUAAUUUUUA